Molecule: ribosomal RNA, 254 nt
Filed under: uncultured bacterium
Lineage: Bacteria
Description: partial 16S ribosomal RNA
Rfam family: Bacterial small subunit ribosomal RNA
Source: RNAcentral
UACGGGGGGAGCAAGCGUUGUUCGGAUUUACUGGGCGUAAAGGGCGCGUAGGCGGUCAGCACAAGUCAGUUGUGAAAUCUCCGGGCUUAACUCGGAAAGGUCAACUGAUACUGUGCGACUAGAGUGCGGAAGGGGCAACUGGAAUUCUUGGUGUAGCGGUGAAAUGCGUAGAUAUCAAGAGGAACACCUGCGGCGAAGGCAGCUCGCUAGGACGGUACUGACGCUGAGACGCGAAAGCGUGGGGAGCGAACAGG